RNAcentral lists this unclassified non-coding RNA (422 nucleotides) under Bactrocera tryoni. RNAcentral describes it as "uncharacterized LOC120780437, transcript variant X3". The record is from RNAcentral. Lineage: Eukaryota; Metazoa; Arthropoda; Insecta; Diptera; Tephritidae.
UAUACGGAAAUUCGGUUUUUUUACCCCUCCGCCAAAAAUAUUAUUAUAUAACUAGAAAACCCGGCGAUCUCCGUUUCGCCACCAAAUUGCUUCGUUUUAUGUAACAUUUCGUUAGUUUCAAUACUACCCAAAAUUUCGUCAACCGGCAAACCCAGCUACGUUGGAGCAUUGUAAAAAGCGAAAAACAAAUGGUUCUUGCCUUAUAAUUGUUUUUGUAAAUUCAUAAGCGGUGCGUUGAAUUUGAUGCUUGGCUGAAACGGUCGCGGUUUCGCUUUCGAUUCGAUCAGAAUACAUUCAGGAAUAAAGGGAUGUCCAACUUAUUCCAGUGUGAGAGCGCCUCAAAAGUAGCGUUUUUUAUAACGUUUUCCGUUAUGGCCAGAUCGGGAAAAGUAAAAAUCUUUGGGCAUUUAAAUUAAAAUACC